Long non-coding RNA from Capra hircus (goat), 406 nucleotides. RefSeq lists it as uncharacterized. The record is from RefSeq and is a predicted model, not a curated record. NCBI's taxonomy places the organism in Eukaryota, Metazoa, Chordata, Mammalia, Artiodactyla, Bovidae. The transcript is spliced from 3 exons.
GAUUUUGAUCCCUCCUUACUUCUUUCGCAGUUAUCUGUGUCAGAGAAGGCUAACCCCGCCCCAGGAUCCAUACUUCCCUCAUUGCUGUUCAGCUACAGAAACAUGAUGCUGAGAAGGAGUCAAGGCUUCACCAGACUGCCAAAGGGAUCUGCGGCACAAAAAUCUAAGAACCUCUGCUCCAACAUCAUCACAGGAGCUGUGGGACCACGUGGGACCUUUCCAGAGGUCUUGGUAGAAAAUGUUGGGAGAGAGAGAGGUUGGGGAGACCAGACUCAAAACUCCCAAUCUCCUUCAGAGGCUGACUUGGUAUGGCCUGAACUGUGUAGAAAAACUAAAGAUAUGUUCCCUCCAUUCUAGGAAAUACACGCAUGUUUCCCAUUGUCUAAUACCAAUCAUGUUUCUAGUU